RNAcentral lists this ribosomal RNA (384 nucleotides) under Uroplatus finiavana. Its description in RNAcentral is "partial small subunit ribosomal RNA". Lineage: Eukaryota; Metazoa; Chordata; Lepidosauria; Squamata; Gekkonidae. The record is from RNAcentral.
CGAAGCACCAACAUCCAAAGAGAAUUACAACCACCAGCUUGAAACUCAAAGGACUUGACAGUAUCUCAUACACCCCUAGAGGGAGCCUGUCCUAUAAUCGAUAACCCACGAUAUACCUCACCCGUCCUAGCACAACUCAGCCUAUAUACCUCCGUCGCCAGUCCGCCUGUUAACAGACACCAAAGCGCAUAUAAUAGUCAACCACUAACACGACAGGUCAAGGUGUAGCUAAUAGACUGGACAGAGAUGGGCUACAUUUUCUAUAUUAAAAAAUACCCACAUACUAUGCAAACUGUACAAAAGGUGGAUUUAGCAGUAAGUGGGACAAGACGAGCUCACCUGAAGCCAACCAUGAGAUGUGUACACACCGCCCGUCACCGCUCA